UACACACUCUCCCCUCCCUCUCCCUCUCCGUACGUACAGAUCACCGGUCCUCGCGAUAAAGUGUUUCCAUUUCACCAAUGGCCAGAGGCUCGACGACGACGAGACCAAACACGGUGUUGUUUCUCACGCGCCAUCCAAGGUCUCGUGGGCGCGAUCCCUCAGCGUGGCCUCUAGCAGCUCCGACAACACUAACUACAAUCGUCGGUCUGAGUUCAACUUCGACUCCCGCAACAUGUCGAACUCGGCGGCCUUCUACUCCUUGCUGAGUCAGCUUCGGGCCAAUGAUCUGAGGGUGUUCGCCCUCUCUGAGCUCAAAUCAGAGAGCUGCGGGUUCAGUCGGGCCUUGCUGAUCGACGAGGGAGGGUUUAGGGUAUUUGGCCCUCGAAUUCCGGCUGAGACGGAAAUGCACCGCUGUCAUCUUCGUCCUCGGCAAGAGGGGUCUUGAGUUUGGAUCCCUCAGCUGAACCCAAGGUCCGGCCC
RNAcentral lists this long non-coding RNA (480 nucleotides) under Rosa chinensis. Its description in RNAcentral is "sRNA RchiOBHm_Chr1g0354111". Lineage: Eukaryota; Viridiplantae; Streptophyta; Magnoliopsida; Rosales; Rosaceae. The record is from RNAcentral.